AUCAACUUUCGAUGGUAGGAUAGAGGCCUACCAUGGUGGUAACGGGUAACGGGGUGUUAGGGCACGACACCGGAGAGGGAGCCUGAGAAACGGCUACCACAUCCAAGGAUGGCAGCAGGCGCGCAAAUUACCCAAUCCCGACACGGGGAGGUAGUGACAAUAAAUAACAAUACGGGGUCCUUUCGGGUUUCGUAAUUGGAAUGAGUACAAUUUAAAUCUCUUAACGAGGAACAAUUGGAGGGCAAGUCUGGUGCCAGCAGCCGCGGUAAUUCCAGCUCCAAUAGCGUAUAUUAAAGUUGUUGCAGUUAAAAAGCUCGUAGUUGAAUUUCGGGAUUAGUACGCUGGUCGUGCCUUCGGUAUGUACUGGUGUUACUGGUUCCUACCUUCUGACGAACCGUCAUGUCAUUAAUUUGGUGUGGCGGGAAAUCAGGACUGUUACUUUGAAAAAAUUAGAGUGUUUAAAGCAGGCUCGCGCUUGAAUACAUUAGCAUGGAAUAAUGAAAUAGGACGUUUGAUCCUAUUUUGUUGGUUUCUAGGAUUGACGUAAUGAUUAAUAGGGAUAGUUGGGGGCAUUAGUAUUCAAUUGUCAGAGGUGAAAUUCUUGGAUUUAUUGAAGACUAACUACUGCGAAAGCAUUUGCCAAGGAUGUUUUCAUUAAUCAAGAACGAAAGUUAGGGGAUCGAAGACGAUCAGAUACCGUCGUAGUCUUAACCAUAAACUAUGCCGACUAGGGAUCGGAUGAUGUUAUUUUUAAUGACUCAUUCGGCGCCUUACGGGAAACCAAAGUGUUUGGGUUC
Molecule: ribosomal RNA, 797 nt
Filed under: uncultured Glomeromycotina
Lineage: Eukaryota; Fungi; Glomeromycota
Description: SSU rRNA
Rfam family: Eukaryotic small subunit ribosomal RNA
Source: RNAcentral